AAUCACUUCCCACAAGGAGAAGCAGGCUGGGUGUGCUCCAGGCUCCGGAAGCUCCAGCAGCCCCAGAGAUGAGGGUGGUCUGCCCCCCACACUCCCUGCCCCAGCCCAUCCUGGACCUUCUCCUGACACACAGCAAACCACACUUAGCUGUCAUUGAUGAAUCGGAGCCUCUGCCAGACAGCCGGCCAAGCCGACGCUAACUCACCCCACAGCCUGAAAUAGAAACUCGCUCGUUUUCCAGUGUGUGACAAAGAAGGAAGGACAUCAACUGGGAGUGGCCCAGAAGCCCGAAGCUGAGAGGACAAAGCUCACUGGGGUAAGUUAACAUCACUCCAGAUCAGCCCCGGUGAAGUCAGCGAGAAUUGCCUACACCUGAAAAAAUGUGGCAAACUUAUUUGUAAAGCUUAUCUGACACUUUUGUCUAUAUUUGAUACAUUCAGUCCUCCACAAUCUCUACUUUACCAAAAUCCAUGCGGGUGCAUCAUAAAGAGAGAUGCUUGAUGACCAAGUUGUUCUGGACAAAUCAAGGAGGGAAUAUUGAAAUUGGAACCACAACACUUGGGUAUAUCAGGUUGGAAAAGACAGUUCAACAGAUGGCUGGUCACCUUGAUUGAGUAGAAUGCCACUGGAAGACCACAAAUCUCUAAACCAUAGUGAAGAAUUGGCCAAGGGGAGCAAAAUCCAAUCAAUUCAAGGGGUUCCCCUUUCCAGGGUCUUGGACAGCGAGGUGAGCGUGUGUUUCUAGCAGGUAAAGCUGACACGUGGCAUCCAGGAGGUCUCCACUCAACUUGAAGAAAUUGAAUGAGUGCAUUUUGUUUCCUGCUUAUAAUUUCCACUUAAAGCACCUCUGUAGUUGACCUCAAGGCCUGCUUUGAUAUCAAUCUCCAAAGCACAAAAGGAAUCAUUUUGCACUUUUUUUCUUCAAGGGACUUACAAAUGAAGGAUCUGAUAAGCACAGUUGAUGAUUAAACCUAAUAAGCUGGC
Long non-coding RNA from Homo sapiens (human), 984 nucleotides. Ensembl annotates it as ETS2 antisense RNA 1. Its record names the gene ETS2-AS1. NCBI's taxonomy places the organism in Eukaryota, Metazoa, Chordata, Mammalia, Primates, Hominidae. The record is from Ensembl.